Molecule: ribosomal RNA, 375 nt
Filed under: uncultured bacterium
Lineage: Bacteria
Description: bacterial SSU rRNA
Rfam family: Bacterial small subunit ribosomal RNA
Source: RNAcentral
GACGUAGGGGGCAAGCGUUACCCGGAAUUACUGGGCGUAAAGGGGGCGUAGGCGGUAAGUUAAGUUGGAUGUGAAAGCCCCGGGCUCAACCUGGGAAUUGCAUUCAAAACUGGCUCGCUAGAGUAUGUGAGAGGGGGGUAGAAUUCCAAGUGUAGCGGUGAAAUGCGUAGAGAUUUGGAGGAAUACCAGUGGCGAAGGCGGCCCCCUGGCACAAUACUGACGCUGAGGUGCGAAAGCGUGGGGAUCAAACAGGAUUAGAUACCCUGGUAGUCCACGCCGUAAACGAUGUCUACUAGCUGUUCGUGGUCUUGUACCGUGAGUAGCGCAGCUAACGCACUAAGUAGACCGCCUGGGGAGUACGGUCGCAAGAUUAAA